GGCGGCAGGCUUAACACAUGCAAGUCGAGCGGUAGCAGAUCUAGCUUGCUAGAUGCUGACGAGCGGCGGACGGGUGAGUAACGCGUAGGAACCUGCCCAGUAGUGGGGGAUAGCCCGGGGAAACUCGGAUUAAUACCGCAUACGCUCUACGGAGGAAAGAGGGGCUUCGGGCUCUCGCUAUUGGAUGGGCCUGCGUGAGAUUAGCUAGUUGGUGAGGUAAUGGCUCACCAAGGCGACGAUCUCUAGCUGGUCUGAGAGGAUGAUCAGCCACACUGGGACUGAGACACGGCCCAGACUCCUACGGGAGGCAGCAGUGGGGAAUAUUGCACAAUGGGCGCAGGCCUGAUGCAGCCAUGCCGCGUGUGUGAAAAGGCUUUCGGGUUGUAAAGCACUCUCAGUGGGGAGGAAGGCCUCGUAGUUAAUAGCUGCGAGGAUUGACGUUACCCACAGAAGAAGCACCGGCUAACUCCGUG
RNAcentral lists this ribosomal RNA (473 nucleotides) under uncultured bacterium. RNAcentral's name for it is "bacterial SSU rRNA". It matches the Rfam family "Bacterial small subunit ribosomal RNA", at positions 38 to 507 of the family's 1533-position model. The record is from RNAcentral.